CAAUAGCGUAUAUUAAAGUUGUUGCAGUUAAAAAGCUCGUAGUUGGAUUUGUGGCGUACGACGGGCUCCGGGCACUUGUUGUCUGAGUAGCUUGUCGUUGCCAUCCUUGGGUGGAACCUGUGUGGCAUUAGGUUGUCGUGCAGGGGAUGCCCAUCUUUUACUGUGAAAAAAUUAGAGUGUUCAAAGCAGGCUUAUGCCGUUGAAUAUAUUAGCAUGGAAUAAUAAGAUAGGACUUUGUCGCUAUUUUGUUGGUUUGCGCGAUAAGGUAAUGAUUAAUAGGGACAGUUGGGGGUAUUCGUAUUCCAUUGUCAGAGGUGAAAUUCUUGGAUUUUUGGAAGACGAACUACUGCGAAAGCAUUUACCAAGGAUGUUUUCAUUA
Molecule: ribosomal RNA, 379 nt
Filed under: uncultured eukaryote
Lineage: Eukaryota
Description: partial 18S ribosomal RNA
Rfam family: Eukaryotic small subunit ribosomal RNA
Source: RNAcentral